AACGCUGGCGGCAGGCCUAACACAUGCAAGUCGAGCGGAUGAAGGGAGCUUGCUCCUGGCUUCAGCGGCGGACGGGUGAGUAAUGCCUAGGAAUCUGCCUGGUAGUGGGGGAUAACGUCCGGAAACGGGCGCUAAUACCGCAUACGUCCUGAGGGAGAAAGUGGGGGAUCUUCGGACCUCACGCUAUCAGAUGAGCCUAGGUCGGAUUAGCUAGUUGGUGGGGUAAAGGCCUACCAAGGCGACGAUCCGUAACUGGUCUGAGAGGAUGAUCAGUCACACUGGAACUGAGACACGGUCCAGACUCCUACGGGAGGCAGCAGUGGGGAAUAUUGGACAAUGGGCGAAAGCCUGAUCCAGCCAUGCCGCGUGUGUGAAGAAGGUCUUCGGAUUGUAAAGCACUUUAAGUUGGGAGGAAGGGCAGUAAGUUAAUACCUUGCUGUUUUGACGUUACCAACAGAAUAAGCACCGGCUAACUUCGUG
Molecule: ribosomal RNA, 480 nt
Filed under: uncultured bacterium
Lineage: Bacteria
Description: partial 16S ribosomal RNA
Rfam family: Bacterial small subunit ribosomal RNA
Source: RNAcentral